RNAcentral lists this ribosomal RNA (497 nucleotides) under uncultured bacterium. RNAcentral describes it as "partial 16S ribosomal RNA". It matches the Rfam family "Bacterial small subunit ribosomal RNA", at positions 28 to 506 of the family's 1533-position model. The record is from RNAcentral.
GACGAACGCUGGCGGCGUGCCUAAUACAUGCAAGUCGAACGAGAGCGACCGGUGCUUGCCCUGGUCAAUCUAGUGGCGAACGGGUGAGUAACACGUGGGUAACCUGCCCAUCAGAGGGGGAUAACAUCCGGAAACGGAUGCUAAAACCGCAUAGGUCUUCGAGCCGCAUGGCUUGAAGAGGAAAAGAGGCGCAAGCUUCUGCUGAUGGAUGGACCCGCGGUGCAUUAGCUAGUUGGUGAGGUAACGGCUCACCAAGGCCGUGAUGCAUAGCCGACCUGAGAGGGUGAUCGGCCACAUUGGGACUGAGACACGGCCCAAACUCCGACGGGAGGCAGCAGUAGGGAAUCUUCCGCAAUGGACGCAAGUCUGACGGAGCAACGCCGCGUGAGUGAAGAAGGUUUUCGGAUCGUAAAACCCUGUUGUUAGAGAAGAACAAGUGCUAGAGUAACUGUUAGCGCCUUGACGGUAUCUAACCAGAAAGCCACGGCUAACUACGU